This 455-nucleotide ribosomal RNA is filed under the name uncultured bacterium. RNAcentral describes it as "bacterial SSU rRNA". It matches the Rfam family "Bacterial small subunit ribosomal RNA", at positions 340 to 784 of the family's 1533-position model. The record is from RNAcentral.
UACGGAAGGCAGCAGUGGGGAAUAUUGCACAAUGGGCGCAAGCCUGAUGCAGCCAUGCCGCGUGUAUGAAGAAGGCCUUCGGGUUGUAAAGUACUUUCAGUCGUGAGGAAGGUGUUAAGGUUAAUAACCUUAGCAAUUGACGUUAGCGACAGAAGAAGCACCGGCUAACUCCGUGCCAGCAGCCGCGGUAAUACGGAGGGUGCGAGCGUUAAUCGGAAUUACUGGGCGUAAAGGGCACGCAGGCGGUUAAUUAAGUUGGAUGUGAAAUCCCCGGGCUUAACCUGGGAAUGGCAUUCAAGACUGGUUAGCUAGAGUCUUGUAGAGGGGGUUAGAAUUCCAUGUGUAGCGGUGAAAUGCGUAGAGAUGUGGAGGAAUACCGGGUGGCGAAGGCGGCCCCUGGGACAAAGGCUGACGCUCAUGUGCGAAAGCGUGGGGAGCGAAACAGGGAUUAGAUA